Molecule: ribosomal RNA, 467 nt
Filed under: Achromobacter sp. NTRP05
Lineage: Bacteria; Pseudomonadati; Pseudomonadota; Betaproteobacteria; Burkholderiales; Alcaligenaceae
Description: bacterial SSU rRNA
Rfam family: Bacterial small subunit ribosomal RNA
Source: RNAcentral
GCAGCACGGACUUCGGUCUGGUGGCGAGUGGCGAACGGGUGAGUAAUGUAUCGGAACGUGCCCAGUAGCGGGGGAUAACUACGCGAAAGCGUAGCUAAUACCGCAUACGCCCUACGGGGGAAAGCAGGGGAUCGCAAGACCUUGCACUAUUGGAGCGGCCGAUAUCGGAUUAGCUAGUUGGUGGGGUAACGGCUCACCAAGGCGACGAUCCGUAGCUGGUUUGAGAGGACGACCAGCCACACUGGGACUGAGACACGGCCCAGACUCCUACGGGAGGCAGCAGUGGGGAAUUUUGGACAAUGGGGGAAACCCUGAUCCAGCCAUCCCGCGUGUGCGAUGAAGGCCUUCGGGUUGUAAAGCACUUUUGGCAGGAAAAGAAACGUCGCGGGUUAAUACCCCGCGAAACUGACGGUACCUGCAGAAUAAGCACGGCUAAUUACGUGCCAGCAGCCGCGGAAUACGUAGGG